GCAUCUAUGGCCGAGGGGUCGAAGGCACGGGACUCAUAAUCUCGCUCUGAAAGGACAUCGCUGGUUCGAAUCCAGCUGGAUGCA
Molecule: transfer RNA, 84 nt
Filed under: Eutreptiella eupharyngea
Lineage: Eukaryota; Euglenozoa; Euglenophyceae; Eutreptiales; Eutreptiaceae
Description: tRNA-Ile
Rfam family: tRNA
About the family: Transfer RNA (tRNA) molecules are approximately 80 nucleotides in length.
Source: RNAcentral